GCUGAGGAGUCCCACAAUAGGACGAAACGACCGUCC
Molecule: non-coding RNA, 36 nt
Filed under: Schistosoma margrebowiei
Lineage: Eukaryota; Metazoa; Platyhelminthes; Trematoda; Strigeidida; Schistosomatidae
Source: RNAcentral